Molecule: ribosomal RNA, 506 nt
Filed under: uncultured bacterium
Lineage: Bacteria
Description: partial 16S ribosomal RNA
Rfam family: Bacterial small subunit ribosomal RNA
Source: RNAcentral
GAUGAACGCUAGCUACAGGCUUAACACAUGCAAGUCGAGGGGUAACGAGAGGAAAGCUUGCUUUCCUUGUCGACGACCGGCGCACGGGUGAGUAACGCGUAUCCAACCUGCCCCCAACUAGGGAAUAACCUUGCGAAAGUAAGACUAAUACCCUAUAAUUUCCUCAGAUGACAUCUGACGAGGAAUAAAGAUUUAUCGGUUGUGGAUGGGGAUGCGUCUGAUUAGCUUGUUGGCGGGGUAACGGCCCACCAAGGCAACGAGCAGGAGGGGUUAGGAGAGGAAGGUCCACAACAUUGGAACUGAGACACGGUCCAAACUCCUACGGGAGGCAGCAGUGAGGAAUAGUGGUCAAUGGGCGGAAGCUUGAACCAGCCAAGUAGCGUGCAGGAUGACGGCCCUAUGGGUUGUAAACUGCUUUUAUACAGGAAUAAAGGUAGCCACGUGUGGUUAUUUGUAGGUACUGUAUGAAUAAGAACCGGCUAAUUCCGUGCCAGCAGCCGCAGUAA